UGGUGGUGCAGUGGUAGAAUUCUCACCUUCCAUGUGGGAGUCUCUGGGUUUGACUCCCAGCCA
This 63-nucleotide transfer RNA is filed under the name Loxodonta africana (African savanna elephant). It matches the Rfam family "tRNA", at positions 5 to 66 of the family's 71-position model. From Rfam's summary of the family: Transfer RNA (tRNA) molecules are approximately 80 nucleotides in length. Their secondary structure includes four short double-helical elements and three loops (D, anti-codon, and T loops). The record is from Rfam by way of RNAcentral. Lineage: Eukaryota; Metazoa; Chordata; Mammalia; Proboscidea; Elephantidae.